GACGAACGCUGGCGGCGUGCCUAAUACAUGCAAGUAGAACGCUGAAGGAGGAGCUUGCUUCUCUGGCUGAGUUGCGAACGGGUGAGUAACGCGUAGGUAACCUGCCUGGUAGCGGGGGAUGACUAUUGGAAGCGAUAGCUAAUACCGCAUAAGAGUGGAUGUCGCAUGACAUUUGCUUAAAAUGUGCAAUUGCAUCACUACCAGAGGGACCUGCGUUGUAUUAGCUAGUUGGUGAGGUAACGGCUCACCAAGGCAACGAUACAUAGCCGACCUGAGAGGAUGAACGGCCACACUGGGACUGAGACACGGCCCAGACUCCUACGGGAGGCAGCAGUAGGGAAUCUUCGGCAAUGGACGGAAGUCUGACCGAGCAACGCCGCGUGAGUGAAGAAGGUCUUCGGGUCGUAAAGCUCUGUUGUACGAGAAGAAAGGGUGUGAUGCUAGAAAGGUCACACUGUGACGGUACCUGACUAGAAAGCGACGGCUAACUACGUG
This 495-nucleotide ribosomal RNA is filed under the name uncultured bacterium. RNAcentral's name for it is "partial 16S ribosomal RNA". It matches the Rfam family "Bacterial small subunit ribosomal RNA", at positions 28 to 507 of the family's 1533-position model. The record is from RNAcentral.